RNAcentral lists this ribosomal RNA (472 nucleotides) under uncultured bacterium. RNAcentral describes it as "bacterial SSU rRNA". It matches the Rfam family "Bacterial small subunit ribosomal RNA", at positions 29 to 506 of the family's 1533-position model. The record is from RNAcentral.
AUGAACGUUGGCGGCAUGGAUUAGGCAUGCAAGUCGAGCGAGAAGGAUUUCAAAGUUUACUUUGGAAUCUGGAAAGCGGCGCAAGGGAGAGUAACGCGUAGUUAUCUACCCCAAGGCCCGGAAUAGCUGCGGGAAACUGCAGGUAAUGCCGGAUAAUAUCCCCGGAUCAAAGGUGUGAUUCCGCCUUGGGAGGAGACUGCGUUGUACUAGCUUGUUGGUAGGGUAAUGGCCUACCAAGGCUACGAUGCAUAGCGGGCGUGAGAGCGUGGCCCGUCUCACUGGGACUGAAACACUGCCCAGACACCUACGGGUGGCUGCAGUCGAGAAUCUUCGGCAAUGGGCGAAAGCCUGACCGAGCAAUGCCGCGUGCGGGAUGAAGGCCCUCGGGUUGUAAACCGCUGUCGUAGGGGAGAAAGGUCUCAUGAAGAAUGAGAUUUGAUCUAUCCUAGGAGGAAGUCCGGGCUAAGUUCGU